RNAcentral lists this ribosomal RNA (345 nucleotides) under uncultured Sulfurospirillum sp. RNAcentral's name for it is "bacterial SSU rRNA". It matches the Rfam family "Bacterial small subunit ribosomal RNA", at positions 657 to 1001 of the family's 1533-position model. Lineage: Bacteria; Pseudomonadati; Campylobacterota; Epsilonproteobacteria; Campylobacterales; Sulfurospirillaceae. The record is from RNAcentral.
GCAGAUGGAAUUGGUGGUGUAGGGGUAAAAUCCGUAGAGAUCACCAGGAAUACCCAUUGCGAAGGCGAUCUGCUGGAACACAAUUGACGCUGAGGCAUGAAAGCGUGGGGAGCAAACAGGAUUAGAUACCCUGGUAGUCCACGCCCUAAACGAUGUACACUAGUUGUUGCCCUGCUAGUCAGGGCAGUAAUACAGUUAACACAUUAAGUGUACCGCCUGGGGAGUACGGUCGCAAGAUUAAAACUCAAAGGAAUAGACGGGGACCCGCACAAGCGGUGGAGCAUGUGGUUUAAUUCGAAGAUACGCGAAGAACCUUACCUGGACUUGAUAUCCUUGGAAUCUCUC